CCUUAUCCAGGCCAAAUCUGAAUCCAAUAGGGCCCGCUUUGCACACUCCUAAUGCAUAGUAUUAUUGCUCCUAAGGGAUGGGUAAGGCUGCAAAGAUCAGAUCCAAACUUCCCUAGCAUAGGACUGUCCACAUCUGGGGUAUUUGAUUAGUCCCACCGUAGUUAGGAGCUAACUCCUCCACAGAAAAAGAUUACGUGUGCUCAUGAGUGCCAAAUACUUCCUAAAGCACGUGUCAAACUCACCUCAGGCUGGAUCCAGACUGCAGGGGCUACUCGGGCCAGACGUACAGGGCCAGGAGACUGGUGAGGCCACAUUCAGGCACGUAUCAGUGUGAAGCAAAGGGUGUCCACCCAUGUGGGACUGGCUGGACAGCAGUGUAGAGCCAGGGGCAUGAAGCAAUGUGGAGGAGAGCAUAUGACAGUGCAGGGCUUUGGCACAGAGGACCAGGCAUGCAACAGCACUGAGUUGUAUUUGGGCAGCAUGGGGCUGGAAGCAUGUAUCAGCACGAUUUGGGCAGUAAGAGAGCUGAGUGGGGAAGGGGCAGGCCAUGUCCAUUGAAAGCCAGCACCCCAAAGUCUGUGGCAGGCCAGAUAAAAUAGUUCCACAGGCCAGGCUGCAUGUUUGAUACCAAGUUUAACUACAUGGAUUAUUUCAAGAGCAAACUGCACAACCCAUCACAUAAGUUUAUAGCAUUAAUUAAUGCACCAUUAAAUGAAAGAUCCAGUUCCAUUAGACAGAGCUAUAUCUGGGUUCCAUCCUCACAAUAUUAUCUUCAUUGCAUGAGGUAUUCAGAUAACAUGCUCAAAUAAUACCCUUCAAUAUAUUAAGGAUUAGCACCCAGUUCUAAUCAUUUUAGCUUAAAAUAAUGUAAAACUGCUGGUUGACAAACAGCUCAAACUAAACAGUGACACAGCAGAAGGCUGUUUUAGAGACCCAGUGGUUUAAUUCCCAAACAGUCUAACUGGACCUAAAAGUAACUGUGGGCAGGAUUUUUGUUUGUUUCUAGCCUAAACUUCAGCCUUCACAUUUCCUCUUCCAGCCUCCUCUAAAUAAGCAUAUACUUUAGUCUCAUUUAAGAACUGCCAUAGAGAAACACUGAAGAAACUGCUCUAAUAAGAUUCAAGUUACUUUAAAGCUAAUAAGUUAUUUACAUGAUUCUAUAAGUCAAGUUCUUCCUUCUCACCAAAAGAUCCCAGUGUGACAGAAAUCCAGCUUGCUGUAUAUGCUCUCAGUUCGCCGGUGAAAUGUAUGUGUUCUCUCUCACAUUGCCUCAUACAGCAAUCAAAGGAGGAUGAUCAUCAUUGAGCAUUAGCAAAGCUUUACAUCUGAUGUGUAAGGUCUACAUAUGGAACCCAGCACAAUCAAGUGAGCUACAAUUGCCCUAUUAAGUCAUCCAAAACUCUGCACAUAAUCACAAUAAAUAUACUUUAAUAAAUGAAAAGUAGUAUUUUCUAAACACAUCAGAAGAAGUCAGUCACCACAGUGAAUUUUGUCCAAAAGACACUUCUUUAUUUUAUCCAAGGUAAAUUACGCCAUGAAUUCAUAGGGAAUUGGUUCCAGCAGCUCAGGCUCUUUACCGUUGGUUCUCAC
Gavialis gangeticus (Gharial) is the source of this 1590-nucleotide long non-coding RNA. RefSeq lists it as uncharacterized. NCBI's taxonomy places the organism in Eukaryota, Metazoa, Chordata, Crocodylia, Gavialidae. The record is from RefSeq and is a predicted model, not a curated record. The transcript has 2 exons.